This 479-nucleotide small RNA is filed under the name Arabidopsis thaliana (thale cress). RNAcentral describes it as "ATSL182780". Lineage: Eukaryota; Viridiplantae; Streptophyta; Magnoliopsida; Brassicales; Brassicaceae. The record is from RNAcentral.
UUCAAAACCAUUUUCUCAUACCCUUUACAUUGUAGAAUCUAAUUCUCUAAGAGCAUUAUUAAAGGGGGAUAUUAGGGAGAUAUUAGGAGAUUCUUAGAUUGUAAAUGAUUAAAUUUAAAUGUUAAUUAAGCAAUUUAGAGGCUCUCUAAGCUAAGAGGUCCUCUUAAAUAAAAUGUAGUGGUGAUGUGACAUGAUUUGGUUGGUUGGGAAUAAUAUUAAAGCCGAAUUUUUUUUCUUGCCAUUAAUUCUUCUACUAUGUAUAAUACUUCAUAAUAUGAUAGUAAAAAACGAACGAGAUGGUUACACUUACUUUGAUGUCUCUGAAUUCUUACAACCAGAAUCAACUAGAAGUGCACAAGUGGAUUUCACCUAUUCUACAUAUAUGCCUUCAAAUCUCGAGAAUAUAUUGGAAACUCGAACUCGAAUUCGUAAUCGACAAGCACAUCAAUAAUUAAAAUUUGAUUUGGUUCAAUAUAUAU